This 80-nucleotide transfer RNA is filed under the name Dunaliella salina. Its description in RNAcentral is "tRNA-Leu". It matches the Rfam family "tRNA". Rfam says of the family: Transfer RNA (tRNA) molecules are approximately 80 nucleotides in length. Lineage: Eukaryota; Viridiplantae; Chlorophyta; Chlorophyceae; Chlamydomonadales; Dunaliellaceae. RNAcentral also lists the same sequence under 1 other name. The record is from RNAcentral.
GACGAGGUGGCCGAGCGGUCUAAGGCGCUAGUUUCAGGUACUAGUUCUUCGGAGCGUGGGUUCGAAUCCCAUCCUCGUCA